Molecule: ribosomal RNA, 253 nt
Filed under: uncultured bacterium
Lineage: Bacteria
Description: partial 16S ribosomal RNA
Rfam family: Bacterial small subunit ribosomal RNA
Source: RNAcentral
UACGAAGGGGGCUAGCGUUGUUCGGAAUUACUGGGCGUAAAGCGCGUGUAGGCGGUUGUCCAAGUUGGAUGUGAAAGCCUUGAGCUCAACUCAAGAAAUGCAUUCAGGACUGGGCGACUAGAGGACCGGAGAGGAUAGUGGAAUUCCCAGUGUAGUGGUGAAAUACGUAGAGAUUGGGAAGAACACCAGUGGCGAAGGCGGCUAUCUGGACGGUUUCUGACGCUAAGACGCGAAAGCGUGGGGAGCAAACAGG